UAUAUAUAUAUCGGAAGGAAAAUAUAAACAUAGGGGGUUCAUGCAUCAUGGGGAAUGUUUUCAUGCUUCAAGGUCAUUUCAAAUAUCUUACUUUAUUUUAAGCUUACCUGAUUGGCAAAAAACGAUAAAAGCCUUUGAAUUUGUUGAAGAUCCUUCUCGAAAAGUCGGAAUUGCUUCCCCAAUGCGUUGUAUCAUGUUCAACAUAGAAAAAUUAAAUUGAAUAAAUAGCAUGUGGAUCAAUUCAAUAAAAUAAGAAGUAAUCAUAACAAGAAUGAUUAAAACGUAAUACUCCCCUGAUUGAAGAAUAAACUCUCUUUAGCGCAGGGUCAAAAGCGUGCUGAUAACGUGUUGUAGGCAUAAUUUACGAAAUAAUUAUGGAGGCCAUAGGAAGAGGGGUGCGGCAAUAGGUAGAGAGAAUGAGAGAGAUGUGUAAUUGUGGGUGUGUGUUUUUCCACCCUCAUUGUGCCUUUAUUUAUAGUAGUAGGAUAGGUAAAAACUUUUCCCUUUAGGAUUACAACAUUUAAUAGGUAAUCAACUCCUAAUAGGAAUAUAAGAUACAUUCUCAUAUCUACUAGGAUUUACACAAUCACAUUCCUAAUCUAAUAGGACUGCAACACUUUCUACCCCUUUUUACUAGGAAUGACAAUUCUAACCGUUAAACCCGAUAACCGUGGAUAACGGUCCGAAUGGAUUGGAUUUUGAUAUGAAAAUUCGGGUAUGGUAUGGAUAUGGGGAAAAACCGUGAACUUUAUUCGGUUAUGAUUUUGGAUAUGGUUAUAGGGGUCCCCAAUCCGUAUCCGUCCCCGAAUCCGACC
This 815-nucleotide long non-coding RNA is filed under the name Malus domestica (apple). RNAcentral's name for it is "long non-coding RNA (MDOM_LNC002826)". Lineage: Eukaryota; Viridiplantae; Streptophyta; Magnoliopsida; Rosales; Rosaceae. The record is from RNAcentral.